Molecule: ribosomal RNA, 484 nt
Filed under: uncultured bacterium
Lineage: Bacteria
Description: partial 16S ribosomal RNA
Rfam family: Bacterial small subunit ribosomal RNA
Source: RNAcentral
AUUGAACGCUGGCGGCAGGCCUAACACAUGCAAGUCGAGCGGAUGAAGGGAGCUUGCUCCUGGAUUCAGCGGCGGACGGGUGAGUAAUGCCUAGGAAUCUGCCUGGUAGUGGGGGAUAACGUCCGGAAACGGGCGCUAAUACCGCAUACGUCCUGAGGGAGAAAGUGGGGGAUCUUCGGACCUCACGCUAUCAGAUGAGCCUAGGUCGGAUUAGCUAGUUGGUGGGGUAAAGGCCUACCAAGGCGACGAUCCGUAACUGGUCUGAGAGGAUGAUCAGUCACACUGGAACUGAGACACGGUCCAGACUCCUACGGGAGGCAGCAGUGGGGAAUAUUGGACAAAGGGCGAAAGCCUGAUCCAGCCAUGCCGCGUGUGUGAAGAAGGUCUUCGGAUUGUAAAGAACUUUAAGUUGGGAGGAAGGGCAGUAAGUUAAUACCUUGCUGUUUUGACGUUACCAACAGAAUAAGCACCGGCUAACUUCGUG